RNAcentral lists this ribosomal RNA (253 nucleotides) under uncultured bacterium. RNAcentral describes it as "partial 16S ribosomal RNA". It matches the Rfam family "Bacterial small subunit ribosomal RNA", at positions 524 to 776 of the family's 1533-position model. The record is from RNAcentral.
UACGAAGGGGGCAAGCGUUGUUCGGAAUUACUGGGCGUAAAGGGCGCGUAGGCGGCCGAUCAAGUCAGGCGUGAAAUUCCCGGGCUCAACCUGGGGGCUGCGCUUGAUACUGAUUGGCUUGAAUGCGGGAGAGGAUAGUGGAAUUCCCAGUGUAGAGGUGAAAUUCGUAGAUAUUGGGAAGAACACCGGUGGCGAAGGCGGCUAUCUGGCCCGUAAUUGGCGCUGAGGCGCGAAAGCGUGGGGAGCAAACAGG